This 432-nucleotide small RNA is filed under the name Arabidopsis thaliana (thale cress). RNAcentral describes it as "ATSL077110". The record is from RNAcentral. Lineage: Eukaryota; Viridiplantae; Streptophyta; Magnoliopsida; Brassicales; Brassicaceae.
ACAAACUGAUACUCAGAGCCCUCUACCUUAGAAGCCGCAAUCAACCCCUCAUCCUUCUCCUGAGCCAACCAAACUCUAGUCAGAAGAUCUGCUCGAUCCACGGCUUCCAAUCCUAAUGGCUCUCGUGCCACAGCACACAACCGCAAAGCACCAAUCUCACUCACCAAGGCCUCAACACUCUGCCCUGGAGCCGCGCCCACGCGCUUACGGCUCAACGCGUCUGCAACCACAUUAGCCUUACCAGGAUGGUAAGCUAUCUCCAGAUCAUAAUCAGCCACCAGCUCCAUCCAUCGCCUCUGCCUCAGGUUCAGCUCUCGCUGAGUGAAGAUAUACUUCAAACUCUUAUGAUCCGUGAACACCUGCACUUUCCCGCCACAAAGAUAAGACCUCCAAAUCUUCAAGGCAAAGAUUACUGUAGCCAUCUCCAAAUCG